UUCUCAUAGAGCCGACUGAAGACACACAGAAGAAUCGGCAAUUGUAGUUAUUUGUUCCUGACCUUUUAUUUUAAAUGCUCAAGUAAAGAUAGCUGCUCCGCCUGGCAUCAUUCAGUAGAAGGUCAUUACUGAGGCUCUCCUAAGAUCCAUAGUGGCGCAUUACUUGCAUUCAGACAGAGCGGGCUGCAGUUUCCUCCACGUGGAGUCAAUCAGACGUAUCUAUUUAACUGAAGGUUAAAUGGUUAGAAGAGCUCACCCAGACUUCACUGUCUCAUGCUGUCUAAGAAUGAAAUCUUUAAACCAGGAACCUCUGGACCUUGACCAGACGCUGCUCACUGCAAACACCCACAAGUUGUUUAUCCUCCUUUGUCCAGCCAAUGUGCCACAACAGAGGAACAGGAGGGACAUAAAAUCCACCAACAGCAUAGAAAGUAAGUCAUCAUGCUUCAUUAUUCAUCUAACUUUGUCUUCAGAUGUGUCCGCAUCAUAUCAAAAGAAACAGCUUUGUGUAUCAUGUCUUCCAACUGUGUUUGUUUGGGGUUGAAUUAGACCCAUUUCCUGUUUUCUGAAGUUUCAUCAAAGCAGGCCUUAGUUUCACUUUCUGACAUGUGCUACACAUUUAAAUGGCCGUUCACUGCAGAUUAUUGCUGUUUGUCUGAAGGUUUAUUGUUCCGUAUAUUAAGGCUUUGCAGAAAGAGAGCUGUUUAAGUAGUCAGUGAUGAGGGGCAGAGGUCCAGUCUGUCCUGCAGCUUUUAGAGUCACAAAAGUAGUUUAUGACAGUGUUAAUUUUUACUCCACUGUCAGCUGAUUUUCUGUGCACUUUGAAGAUCGUGUCAUCCAAAAGGAAUUUCUGAAUUUUCCACUUGUCAGAGAGCAAAACUCAAGAAAAACAGAUCCAGUCACUUACCGGUGUCAGUGGCUGUGGCAGGGCGGUUCUGAAAAGCUGAACGGCCAGAGCGAGUGUCUUGUGUGUGUCUCUGAAGUCCGGCUGGUUGCAGCGAAGCAGUCACCCUGCAGCUCUGCUCUGCAGGCUGAGGAAGUUCAGCCCACUGGCCUCUCACAGCAGACAAGCCCCAACUUGUCAUCUGUUCCUGGUUGCUAAGAUAAGCAGCAGCUGAAGAGGCUUAAACAGGCCACUGAGCACCACCCAGUGGAGGAAUGAUGACAUGCAGGGGAGUCUGCUUUAACAGAGAUCAUCAGCUAUCUAUCUGUUCAUGCACUGAUGAAUACAGCAGCUGUAUUAUUAUUAGAUUUAACUACUGUACAAAAUCUACCAAUAUAAUGUACAUGUUGAUAACUUUACGUAUCUAUAUGAAUUGAAGAUUUAGUGGAAUAUUUGAGCAAACCUUCACGGAAUUCUGCAGCUUGAAUUAACACAGAUAGAACUUAUAAAUCUCAUUUUUAACGGUCUGCUGCCUUGUAAGUAAAUAUGCAUCUGUUUUUCGUUUCCUAAAAGAAAAUCAUAUAAACAGUAGAUAAGGGAUAUUAUAAAGGCUAAGCUAGAAUAUAGCAUUAACAUCCGUUGAAAAGGUUUCUAGAGAAUACAGACCAUUUCCAGGCUCUGUGAAACAUGCUGAGUAAAAACAUUUGUUUAGCUUUUACAUACAUUCCCAAGAAAAGGCUACCAAGAUUUCUCCAGACAAAGCAAAAAGCAAAGGCACACUUAAAUGAUAGUCAGAAGAAUAUGUUUAAUAAAAAUAAUUAAACCUCAAUUUCCUCUAUAGAACUUCAUAGAAAGUAAUCCAAUAAAUUACAAAUGACUUUUAAGACGCGUUUUCCUGCACUACAUGAAGAAUUAUUGACUACACAGAGCACAACUUGCAAAUAUUACAACUGUUCAAUGAAAAAGAAAGAGAGAAAAAAAAGACACAAACUGACCAGGGUGACAUUUAGAAUAUUACCAAGCUUGAAAUCAAAAUACAAAAUCCAUGACGCUAGUUUUGUCGUCUCAGUGAUCACAAGUAUGAAAACUGAAAGGAAACCUCCCUGUACAGCAGUAGUGUGUUUGUCAUUCCUCUUGCAUAUUGGUCAUUGUUUACUUGUGUCUGUGUUUAACCCAGAUUCAGCACUGCUUCUUUAGCACUAGCAGUAGCUUGGGAGUCCUUGCACAGUUCAACCAAAAGAAAAAUAAUAAUUAGAAGAAAAGCAAAUGAAAGCAAAAUAAAGUCCCAUCUUAUGUCUACUUUUUUUUCCAUUUGUGUCCUAAAGAGGCUCAGCACAGUCAUCGAUUCAUCGACCCAUCGAUGUGGGGCAACAAAAAGUAGCAAAAUUCAUUAGAUCAGUCACUUACAGCAGACGUAGCAGUGGCUGGGUGUUUGCAUAAGGGCACUACAAGUUUAAAGAGAGCAGAGGUGCAGAUAUACAAAAUGACAGUGGCAUGUUUAAGUUCAUUGCUCAAGACAUAGAAAAAUACCGUACUGUUAGUAAUAAUAAUUAAAAAAACUGCAACUGCAUUGCAAGCAAACCCAUGACGAGGUCUAUAGAGAGCAGGCAUACAAGAAAACCACUUUAAAGCAACAUUAGAAAUCAGAAGUGUCUUCAGUCUUUGUGUUCAUGGUUGAACCCACGAGAGAACGAUGCUACAACUAUUUAAGAACUAAACGGUUAAUUCAGUGGGCCAAACAGAAACUUCAGCUCGGAAAUCAUUUGUAUAUCUAACAGUCCACUGUGUAACAGCAGUCCUAGAGCGAGCACUGUUGUGCUGGAGAGGAUUACAAAAAGGUACUUCGGCUCGAGUGAACCCCAGUGUUUGUGUGUAUCCUGGUUACAGCUUAAAAAUGGACAUGUGCAGGGAUGCUGAAGAAAAUACACAAGCAUGGACACUGAGCACAGAUGUGAGCGGUCGAAUGAGAGAGUGAGGAUAAGGGCACUUCUACAUCUAGCUGAAGCUCUGUCCGUCAGCAGAACAGAGUCGAGGACGACGUGAAAUAAAACAAGACAAAUGCUGCACACCCCCAGCAACGCAAGCUGCUAUAAUUGAGCCCUUCUCAAGCAAAACCCGUCCGGCACUGCGUAAAAAUGUGAUCCUCAAAGACGACGACGACGGCUACUACAAUCUUAAACCAGGAUUUGAAACUAUUUUGUGCUUGUGCCACACAUGUUCUGCAUGAACACAGGUUAUCAUGCAACACAUAAUCUCACAGGACUUUAAAGUCUGUCCAAAUUUCUAAUGAGACACAUUUGAAGCAAGAACCCCCUCCCUCCCCCUCCCGCCAAGACAUAACAUUCAGACUGGAAAGUUAUGGAAGCAGUAGAUACCAGGUGUGAGGAGCAGCCCAGCCGAGCAAAACACAGUGGAAGCUCUCAGUAAAAAACAAAAAAACAACUAAACAAAAAGGCCACCGAGACACAUUCCAGCAGAGACGAGGGCAUCAUGUACGUGGACAGCAGAAUAACGCACCCAUGCACAUGUACAUUUGCACAGUGAAGCCAAUCAGUUUAGCAAAGUUGAGGUAAGAUGCAGUCAAAUACGCCGGGGCUGUAGUAAUAAUACCCAUCAUCAAGAAUCCUUCCACUACCAGAGACCCCACAACUCUGUCAGGACCCCAAAAAGUCAAAGGGCAGUUGUGUUUUUUUUUUCUUUUGGCACACAGUAAAAGGUUGUUUUGUGUCACCCCUGCUCAAGGAGCUUUUUAGUGGGAAUCGAGAUGUGCAAGUGAAUGAGCAUGCCUAAUGUGGGUAGCUAAAGUGCACCUUGAACAUGUUGUGGCAUGUUUGUAAGGUGAAGGUGAAAAUGAAGAGCUCCUAAAACUUAAAAAAAAAAAAAAAAAGAUUCAACAGUAGAGAAAUAAAUCACAAUCCACUUUCAAGAAUUUUAGUUUGUGUAUGAUUGGAAAAAUACUCAAUAAUACUACUCAAGAGGGAGCUUCCCAUGAUUCUUUUUCCAAACCGAACAAGAACAAAUGAAACAAAAACCUCUAAGGUGAUAUGAAGGUAGGUGACAGGUUGGUGAGGCUGUGUGAGUUGUGCACUGGGGUGGAACAUGGCAGAGAGAGAGAAUCUACAGCUUCAGUGACAUUCAUUAGCUGCCCAAGUUAUUGCUGACAUAUCCAACGUAUGAUCUGCAAAGCAUAAGUGUCAACCCACCUGUAAAAGUACUGAAUAUUUACAAGAGAAACCAAAGUGUCGAUCCCCACACCCCCGACAAUCAAAAUAUAUUAAUAGUACAGCUCAACGAGCAUGUUGAUGUAGUUUCACUUUUUUAAUAAAAUUAAUCCUGACAUAAUUACAAUAAUGCCUUUUUUGUUGCAAUUGUACAUAAUCGCGUGGUACAAUUUCACAGAGUUCAGAAAUCUACUAAAGUCUGACAUGCAAAAUGUCUCAAAACAAGACUGUACCUUGUGAACAAACAUUGACAUUUUACUUCAGUUCCUUUUAGAUCAGUUUUUCCUUUUUUUUUGUUUUUUUUGUAGAUUUUUGUAGUCUUUAUUACACAACAUCGUAGUUAGUUCUUGUAUUUACAAGUAAAGAAAUCGCAACGUAAGUGCUGGAAAAUCCAUAUAUAUGCGAAUAUAUGUUUACAUUUCUAGGUGAUACAUAAAUAAAUUUAUAAUUAUAUAUUCGUAGGAUCAGUCCUCAUCACUUGAGUCUGAAUCGUCUGAGGAUGAGGAAGAACUCCCAGAUUCUGAUGAAGAUGACUCUGCUUUCCCUGAACCUUCAGGACCACUGUUGUCUUUUUGUUCUGUGGAUUCCUCCUCCUCUUCUUCAUCCAGAGCCUCUUCUAAUGCCUCGUCCUCCUCCUCUCCAUCCUUCUCUGCCUGUGGCCGAUCCGUCUCCUGUGCCGAUGACUGGGAGGCUGAAGGCGGAGCAGCUGGAAAGGUGGGGUCACUGUUUGAGCUCUGCAGCUGUGUGGCGGACACAGGAAGGUUAAGGCCUGGAGUGAGAAGCAUCCCUGGGUAAAGCAUACUGGAGAGUAACAAGGGGUUAAGAGAAAGUGGGUGACUGGAGGCUGCAGAGGCAGCUGAAGCACUUUGUGUGGCGGUGGCAGAGGAAGCAGAGCUGGAAGUGGAGGAAGGAGUCGUGUUCGAGCCCUCUGUCCUUUCUCCUUUGGUGUCUGAGGUGUGAGAGGGGGCUUUAGAGGCAGACGGCUCUCCGGUUCCACCGCUGGUGAUUCCCUUUGUUUUCUCUUCCGAGCCUCCUGCACCUUCCUGAGCAGACUUCCCGAGCAAGCUGCUCAUGCCGAGCAGGUUUGGCAAUCCAGCCAUGCCAGACAGCAUCAUGGGAAACAUGGCAGCUAGGUUACUUGCGGCCAGGUUGCUAGCGUCGGACGGCAGCCCCAUCAGGCCUGCGGUGAGCUGCAGGGACUGUAAACUCUGGAGGUUUUGCUGGAAGGCCUGCAGACUGGUGAGGUCCAUUCCAGAGAGGAGGCCGUUGGCCAGCAGUGGGUUUAGACCCAGAGCAGAGGCUGCUUGGCUGGGUGCCGCUGCUGCUGCUGCCUUGGCCAGAGGAUUCUUAGGUCGACGUCCUCGCCGGCUCACCUCCUCAGGAACGAUGGGCCCCGUCAGGAUCCUGUCAAACAUGCUCUCUGGGAGGUAACCCUGGAAAAAACAUGGAACAAAUGCAGGGUUGGCAGAGUACAGCACAGGCAAGCUUUAGUUUUAUUACACAUGACCAGCGUGUUUAAUAACAGUACAGUAAAUAUAAGCACUGCUAGUUUAAGUACACUGAGCUAAAUCUAAUGUAAUCUAAUACAACAGACAGAAUGGCGGUUACAGUGUUCAAUAUUUGUUGAAAUUCACUUAUUUAGUCUUAACAUCACUGGUAUAAAUGGCGUGGACAAAAUGUUAGAAACUCCUUUUAGCAUAACAAUAUAUGUCAGAAGUACCACAAACUACAGCUUCCAAAAUGAUCAGAGUUGAAUGAACACUGAAACAGCCUGUAACCUUUAUUAAAGUACAUUUUAUUGCUGUUGUAUUAGACAGCAUUAGUUUUAGUGAAGAGUUUCAAAUAAACUAGGAACUGACUUGUCAAAAUGUCUUUCUUGACGUCACAUUUUCCUCUAAUAGUCCUGUUGUGAUGGUUGUAUGUUUUUGUGACUUACCGACUGUUUAACCACAUCAGCCCAUUCAGGUGGGACUCCAUACUCUGGGUUUUCCUGAAGGAACCUGCACAGAUCCUUCAGAGGAGGAGCAAAGGCUCCACCAACCUACAGGAAAGAAUGCACACAACAUGAAACCAGCCACAAACAAAACCAGGUCCAAACACACCUUGCGUGCAUUUCUCCUGUUGAUGAUCUGGACCCUUUCCUCUCCUGUCAGGCUGUUGACAUCGAUCUUGUUGGGGUUCCUACAGCGAUGCCUUUUCUGCUUGGGCCGAC
Long non-coding RNA from Amphiprion ocellaris (clown anemonefish), 6316 nucleotides. RefSeq lists it as uncharacterized. The record is from RefSeq and is a predicted model, not a curated record. The transcript is spliced from 3 exons. Lineage: Eukaryota; Metazoa; Chordata; Actinopteri; Pomacentridae.